GACGAACGCUGGCGGCGUGCUUAACACAUGCAAGUCGAACGGAAAGGCCCUGCUUUUGUGGGGUGCUCGAGUGGCGAACGGGUGCGUAACACGUGAGUAACCUGCCCUUGACUUUGGGAUAACUUCAGGAAACUGGGGCUAAUACCGGAUAGGAGCUCCUGCUGCAUGGUGGGGGUUGGAAAGUUUCGGCGGUUGGGGAUGGACUCGCGGCUUAUCAGCUUGUUGGUGGGGUAGUGGCUUACCAAGGCGUUGACGGGUAGCCGGCCUGAGAGGGUGACCGGCCACAUUGGUACUGAGAUACGGCCCAGACUCCUACGGGAGGCAGCAGUGGGGAAUAUUGCACAAUGGGCGGAAGCCUGAUGCAGCAACGCCGCGGGCGGGAUGACGGCCUUCGGGUUGUAAACCGCUUUCGCCUGUGACGAAGCGUGAGUGACGGUAAUGGGUAAAGAAGCACCGGCUAACUACGUG
This 468-nucleotide ribosomal RNA is filed under the name uncultured bacterium. RNAcentral describes it as "partial 16S ribosomal RNA". It matches the Rfam family "Bacterial small subunit ribosomal RNA", at positions 28 to 507 of the family's 1533-position model. The record is from RNAcentral.